GGGGGAGUGACCCUAUAAUCGUCUUCUCAUCUCUCCCCCAGUCCCAGAGGAGAGGCACACCAGUUAGCAUAAAAGGCUAAACAUAACAUCAAACUUGCUGCCUUUUUGAAGCCUUUGAUCCCAUCGCUGAUCCUGAGAGUCUCGGCCACCUAUCACUGGCAGCAAGUCCAAGAUGGUUUACAGCACAGGAGACCCCCAGCCAUCCAGACUUUAGACUUGCACUGAUGCAGAGCUGGGACCACGUGUUUGACGACUGACGACAUCAGUUCAGUGCUUCUUCUAGGCCCACCUGGAUUGCCGGCUGGCUCAGAACGGAGCAGGCAUGGUUUGCAGUCAUGCCAUGCAGCUCAUCUCUGAACCUGAGCCAUGCAAAGAUCAACUCUUCUUAAAUGGCUAGAUUCAAAACAAAUAAGGACACAUUUAUGUUAUUAUUGCCACAUGUAAAAGCCUCAAUUGAGUCAAAGCGGUUUGUGCUUUUAUUUUUAGUGUAAUCUUUUUGUUCUUUUUCUUCCUUUUUUUUUUUAGAUAGGAGGAAAUAACAAGAUGACGGGAAAUGAGGAGCACACAACAAAGGUCAGAGGCCAAACACAAACAGAGGAAGGCACCAGCAUCUUAACCCCUAAACCACCAGGAUGUCCCAGGUCCUGAGAAUGAGCUCCUAUUGUGCAGAGAGGCGAUCCAGUUACAAAGGACUGAAAAACGAGUGUGAGAAAAACAGAGACCAACAGACUGCCAGAAGAAGAAAAAAAAAGAUUUGUUUUUAUUUCAAAGCUGCAAACAAUAUGUAACACACGAUCUCGCAGUAGUGCCCUGAUCUGGCAAAUCUUUCGGAACAUUUUUUAGCUCACAGUUUUGUUUUCUGCUUUGUAUGAAACAAUAAACAUAGUCACUGCUGGCACCGACUUUGUUGUCAUUUUGGAAAACAUAACAAUUCUGAGAUCCAAGAGUGGUGGAGGCGAUGAACUGAGGUUACAGUGUUUAGCAAUGAUAGAAUAUCAUAUUUGUUGUGCCACGAAGUCCUGAUGUAACCGAGACCUUAUUUUUCUUAAAAAGUGAUUCAUGCUGACACGUUCGGUGAUUUACAAAUUCAAAGGCCUCUGCAGUAAAGCUGUGACCACAGUGGUCAGUGCUGUACAUCUGGAGCGAGAGAUGAAGAAAGGUUUGACAUCUAAAAAUAAUAAAGAAAAAGAAACCAGCAAUGCAAAAAGUCUUGUGUUUGUCUGGUUUCAUUCCUCCACUGCAAUGAAUUGUAAUUGAUGUUUUUAACAGAUACUAAAUAUAGCUGCAAACAGCAAUGAUGGGACCAAGCAACUUAGCAGAGCUCCUGGUUGCCAUGUUAGCUCAAUAUGACAGUGAGGUCUAUCAAUUUAACAAUAAUCAAUAAAUACUCUUCUAAACAAUGUUUUUAUUACAUGAACAAAAGUCUGCUAAACAAAAUGAACACAACACUUUCCCCCUUUAUCAGGUGUUAAUGUGGAGAAUUAGAGACCCAAACUAACAAAAAACUUCAUGCGCUGCUUUCUGUCAUGAAACCUAAAAUUCAUCCAAAGUGAGAUUCUAAGAACUGAAGUUCUCAGAAGCUGAAUAUGAUGUUGUUGAAGCGACAGCAGAAGUGGGCUUCCUCUUUUCUCUCGGGGGAUUUGUGGGUUGAUCGAUAAAACUGAUUUUAGUGAUGAGUCAUCCUGGAGAGUUUUCAGUCAAUAAUGUCUCCGUUCUUAUCAGUAAACUAAAAGUUGUGUGGGGUACAGGUGCUGUUGUAAAACUCAACAGUAAACAUGGCAUGGUAUCCACAUAGCUACAAAGCUGUGCAAAAAUCUUGAGCCACCACUCUUUCUUUAUAUAUUGAUUACAAGGAGCCAGGAUUUAUUUUCUUCUUUUUAAAGUGGUCCUGACCAGGCUUUCCGAAAGGUUUUUUUUUGGACAUCUGCUUUUGCAUUCAUUUUUAGUCAAGUCCUGUGUGUAGUGUACCUGACCAUUUGCAGAGGAAUACAUUUUUUUUCUUUUUUUAGCUCACUUCACUGACCAAUCAUCAAUCAUUCAGCAGAAAAAAGGGGCCCUAACUCAAGGAAUGAAGCAGUGUUGUGUCUACACAUAACAGACAACUUAACAAAAAGACAAUUUUAAGUUGUAUCUUUAGGCACUUUGCAGCCUGUCACAAAAACAGAAAGUUUAUUACAAUUUUUUUACUGGAAUAUACAAAAAUACCAGACAUGACACAGUUUGACAGACAUAAAAUAGUGUUUUUGCACCAACAAGGUGGCGGCUAAAGAGCUAUUACCCCUUGGUAUAUCUCAGAUGGUGUGAGAUAAACUGGAUAAAUGGAGGACAAAUUUUUAUCUUUAUUGCAAAAAUUUAAAUUCAGUGGCAGUCUUGCCCCUGUGCAAAUUAGGUUUUCACAUAUUCAUAAGCUUUAUUGGCUGAAUUACUCGCCUGAAUUACUAUGUUGCAGACUUUAGAUUCAAUCUUUCUCCACCUUCUCCUGCUAAUGGUGGGAUAAGGCCAUGCUCAAGUACACUUUGGUACACAAUAGGUUGUAACUUAUACAAUUUAAGGUAUUAAACAGAGUUCACUUCUCAAAGUCUCAUUUAUCAAAAACUGAACCCAACAUAUUGGACCAGUGUCACCGAUGUUAUGCCUUAUUUUGCCAUCUGAGACAUAAUGUCUUGUGUUAUGUCAUCUCUCAGAGGAAAAAAGCUUAUGAUCCUAUCUUAUAUUUUUUCAAAAAUUUCAUUGAUUAUUUUAAUACUUUACAAACUGUCACUGUAGACUAACCCACACAAUAUGUGUUGAUUUCAGUAACUUUAUCCCUACUUUCAAUUCUUUAACAUUAUCUUUUUUCUCAAUUAGAAUGUUUUUUUCUUUUUAAAAAAGAGAUGGUAGACCUAAAAACCUAUCCACAGGAGAUCUGACAGUCAGGUUCUUAAGAAAUAUGAAUUACCAAAAGAUCUGGCACAGGAGUUGAGAAAUGGAUCCGGCCCUUCAGUCGAUUUGUAUCCCUUGUUUUCCUUUUAAUUCAGUUCAAUUCAAUUCUGAUUUAUUUAUAAAGCAUCAAAUCACAACAACAGUCAUCUCAACAAUAUUGAGUGAGUAAGCACUUUGCACUUGUGGGACGGAAAUGCUCCCUUUUAACAAAAAGAAACCUUGAGCAGAACCACACUCAGGGAGAAAUAGCCAUCUGCCACAACUGAAAUGGUCAUAAAUGGUCUCAGUAGAAGGGUGGCUGUCAAGAAACCACUUUUAAGGAAGGGAAACAGGAAGAAAGGGUUAAUGUAUGCCAAGUUACACAAGAACUGGACUAGAACCCCAUGGCAACAGGUCUUAUGGAGUGAUAAAAUUUGAAAUUUUAUCUUCAAAUCAUCGUCAAUAUUUAAGGAGGAGGUCAGUAGGGAGAUACUCCAGUGAGCUACAGCCAUCUGUGAAACACAGUGGAGGUUCUGUCAUGGUUUGGGGCUGAAUUCCAGCAAGUGGUGUUGAAGGUUACUUAAAGAAGCUACAAGAAAGCUUCCCUAAGAGAGUUCAGACUGUAAUGAAAUAAAAAGGUUGUCAAAUCAAAUACUGAAUGUUAAGAUUAUUAAACUUGUACAAACUCUGUUUUUGCCUUAUGUACAAACUGUAUUUCCAUGUUGGUUUGUACAUUUGUACAGUAAAAUGUAUAUUUGUAAAAACAUACAUGGAAUUUGUGUUUUAAUAAAUAACUGCACCUAAUUCCUGUUUUCCUAGAAAAAGGAGAUGAGAGGCAGCUCGAGAGUACUAUAUUUACAACAUGAAUUUAUUUUGUAAUAAAUAGUUGUAAUAGCAGAGAAUUAAAACCUAAAACUUUGACCUCUGGGACCAGUUAGGUUACUUUUAGCUUGAUGUUGAAGGGAUAUUUCUACUGCUGUUUGAACCAAACCUGCCCCAAAGUUUUUCCCUAUCUGUGGAAGAAAGUGAGUCCACUGUUUACCUCAGCUGUCAAUGCCGGGUGACAAGUGUCCACGGAUUAAUCUGGAGGAGCCUUGCAAAUGUUUUGAAAUAAGUCCAAAACUAGUCCAUGAGUCAAAGAAAUGCUCACUUCUGACAAAUGACAGCCAUAUUGAGUUGAGUUGCUGAGGAUCUGCUGAGGUUUUCUGUCAGUAAGCGCUGCUGUUUUUGCUGCUGUUAGCUACUGUUAGCUACUGUUAGCUGUUAGCGUUCACCACAGUUAGUGAAACAUUCUUUGAAGUGGACGUAACUUUGUUGGACUGUAAUGCUUAAUAAAUAAACUCUCGUAUACUAUCUGAGAAUGUAAUCAAAAACUGUUUAUCAGAGGCAAAGUUUGAUUUUAUAACUUUUAAGCCUAAUGUUAGCUGGCAUAAUGUUAGCUUGUAACCAGAUGUUGUUGUUGUUGUCUAACUGGCUUAUUGUCAGCUGUCUAGAGAAAAGAGGGUUGCAUGUCUAAUCUGCUAACAAUAAGUGAUUGCAACAAUAUUAGGAAUAAAUAAGCAUGUCUAUGAACAUUUUUGCGUCUUAGAGUCCUGACUUCAGUUCAGCAGGUGAGGCGAGAAAGAAGAGAACAUUUUAUUAAAAUCCCUGUAGCAUUAUCUUUUUCCCUCUUCCCUACUAUCUGGGGUCUAAAGGUGCAGGGAUAAAUUUAAAUGUCUCUUCAUGGCACAUAAAUGUCUAUGACUUUUCAUCUCAUCUGACUUAUGCAUACUAUGUAUUUGGAUGGUCGCUAGCCACAUACAUAAAAUGCCAUUAGUCAGAGAGUAGACGUCCUUCCCAGCCACUGUAUUUAAAUAUGGUAUGGGAACAAACUGGCUUCCACAAACCACAAAUCUGCUCCUAUCGACUUUUAAUUGAAUAACUAUAAGUACUGUACCAUUAAACAACAGAAAGAAAAAAUCUUACUCACAAAGGUAGUGGCAAACUAAU
This is a long non-coding RNA of Oreochromis aureus, 4890 nucleotides long. RefSeq lists it as uncharacterized. NCBI's taxonomy places the organism in Eukaryota, Metazoa, Chordata, Actinopteri, Cichliformes, Cichlidae. The record is from RefSeq and is a predicted model, not a curated record. The transcript is spliced from 3 exons.